GAUGAAGAACGUAGCGAAAUGCGAUACUUGGUGUGAAUUGCAGAAUCCCGUGAACCAUCGGGUCUUUGAACGCAAGUUGCGCCUCAAGCCAUUAGGUUGAGGGCACGUCUGCCUGGGCGUCACUUAUCGUUGCCUGAUGCCAGUUUCCUCGUGAUGGGUGACUGUGCAGGGCGAAUGAUGGCUUCCCGUGAGCAUUGUUGCCUCAUGGUUGGUUGAAAAUUGAGUCCUUGGUAGGGAGCGCCGUGAUAGAUGGUGGUUGAGUGACGAACGAGACCCAAUCAUGUGAGACCCCUACCGAAUUUGGCCUUCAUGACCCACAUGCGUCUUUGGAACGCUCAUGACGAGACCUCAGGUCAGGCGGGGCUACCCGCUGAGUUUAAGCAUAUCAAUAAGCGGAGGA
Molecule: unclassified non-coding RNA, 400 nt
Filed under: soil metagenome
Description: partial contains 5.8S ribosomal RNA, internal transcribed spacer 2, and large subunit ribosomal RNA
Rfam family: 5.8S ribosomal RNA (bases 1-122)
Source: RNAcentral